Molecule: transfer RNA, 72 nt
Filed under: Candidatus Woesearchaeota archaeon
Lineage: Archaea; Nanobdellati; Candidatus Woesearchaeota
Description: tRNA-Asn
Rfam family: tRNA
About the family: Transfer RNA (tRNA) molecules are approximately 80 nucleotides in length. Their secondary structure includes four short double-helical elements and three loops (D, anti-codon, and T loops).
Source: RNAcentral
GCCCAGGUAGCUUAGUGGUAGAGCGCACGGCUGUUAACCGUGAGGUCGAAGGUUCGAAUCCUUCCCUGGGCG